This 88-nucleotide transfer RNA is filed under the name Actinomycetota bacterium. Its description in RNAcentral is "tRNA-Ser". Lineage: Bacteria; Bacillati; Actinomycetota. The record is from RNAcentral.
GCGAUUGCCGAACACUGGCACACAUCCACGAACAUACAAAUUCGGACUUCUAAUCCGCGGGUCGCAGGUUCGAAUCCUGCCGGGCGCG